This 769-nucleotide long non-coding RNA is filed under the name Pan paniscus (pygmy chimpanzee). Its description in RNAcentral is "lncRNA (ENSPPAG00000044746.1)". Lineage: Eukaryota; Metazoa; Chordata; Mammalia; Primates; Hominidae. The record is from RNAcentral.
GGAGGCUGGGCUGUAUUGAAGUGCAUUCCAGACUGACUGUGAAACCCAGAGCUGCUGCUGCUUUCCCAAUGCUGGCUCCCUUCCAAGGGGCUGGCCCAGCUGAGCUGCUUGUCAAAGCUUCAUUUUGUCUCUUCUCUCUCUUUUUUUCCUCCUCUUUGUGAUUUCCCAUGUAGCAUUUGCCUGCCCUUGGAUAGAAUACUUGGAUGAAUUUUGGGGUCACCUCAGAUCUGGCACAUUUCAGAAGUUGCUGACGUGUUGAUGCCUGCUAAAACACGACGUGGGAAGAAGAAUGAAUGUGGGCAAGCUCGGCUAGCCACUCAGAGGGAAAUGAUCUCAUUUCUCCUGCUGGGCAACCCCCAGUUGCUGGAUUGUCUUAAUGGCACUUAGAAAACCAGACUUACAUGGGAAAGUAAGUUAUCCAAGCAGACACCCAGAAUUGCUUGGCAUACUGUAUAACAACUGGCAAAUUAACCUUCUCACACUCGGAUAAUACUGCAGAAUUUAAGGAGCAACUGUAUCUGCCUCCAUGCAGCUGUCUAGUUUGCUAAUGCAUGUUCCUAAAAUAAAAAAAAAACACUGACACACAUACUGUCUUUUUCCUUUCAACAAUCCAGCUACUCAGUCCUUCUUGAAGUCCAUUUUCGUAAACACUUUGCUGAUCAAGAAGUGUCUGAAGAUGGGAAGACGGAGAAAGCUUGUAUUGUUUACUGAGUAUCAGAGGACACUUCCUUCAAGUGACCUAAGGCAUGUGUGAGUGCUAUCCUAUGAG